GAAUAAAUAAACAGGUCAUAUAAAAUGUUGUUCGUGCAAAAUAUCUCACUCAGCUGUUAUAGCUGAGGGGAGAUCUCCUUCUUUGAAGGUUUCAGAGGUUGACAGGUAUAAAUAUAAAAUAUAUGACUCUAACUUUCAAGAAUUUAAACCUAUUCCGGAACUAUGUACUUCCUCUUACUUAACAUUUGGUCCUUCUCAUAUUCAAUUUGGCCACUAUCUAGGUGC
RNAcentral lists this long non-coding RNA (225 nucleotides) under Mytilus galloprovincialis (Mediterranean mussel). The record is from RNAcentral. Lineage: Eukaryota; Metazoa; Mollusca; Bivalvia; Mytilida; Mytilidae.